Vicugna pacos (alpaca) is the source of this 5801-nucleotide non-coding RNA. The record is from RefSeq and is a predicted model, not a curated record. NCBI's taxonomy places the organism in Eukaryota, Metazoa, Chordata, Mammalia, Artiodactyla, Camelidae.
GGCUCCGGCGCAAAAUCCUGCGGGAGAGGAGGUGGGGCGACGGUUCUGGAGGCAGCGCUCCCGCGGGCUGCCUCGUUGUGACUCCCCGGGCUCCCGCGGCGGUGGUGGCGCUCGCCUCGGAGUCUCCCGCGCGCACCCUAGCCGCCUCCUAGCGGCGCGGCGUCCUCUCCUAUGCCUAAAAUGACGAAUGUGUGAUUUCAGUGGAAUAAAUGGCGUCCAAAGUCACAGAUGCUAUAGUUUGGUAUCAAAAGAAGAUUGGAGCAUAUGAUCAACAAAUAUGGGAAAAAUCUGUUGAACAGAGGGAAAUCAAGUUUAUUAAAGUGGGGUUAAGGAAUAAACCAAAGAAAACAGCACAUGUAAAACCAGACCUCAUAGAUGUCGAUCUUGUAAGAGGGUCUGCAUUUGCUAAGGCAAAACCUGAAAGUCCAUGGACUUCUCUGACUAGAAAGGGAAUUGUUCGAGUUGUAUUUUUUCCCUUUUUCUUCCGGUGGUGGUUACAAGUAACAUCAAAAGUCAUCUUUUUCUGGCUUCUUGUCCUUUAUCUUCUUCAAGUUGCCGCAAUAGUAUUAUUCUGUUCCGCUUCCAGCCCGCAUAGCAUACCUCUGACGGAAGUGGUUGGGCCAGUAUGGCUGAUGCUGCUCCUGGGAACUGUGCACUGCCAGAUCGUCUCAACAAGGACACCCAAACCUCCGCCAAGUGCAGGGGGUAAAAGAAGAAGGAAAUUAAGAAAAGCAGCCCAUUUGGAAGUACAUAGGGAAGGAGAUGGCUCUAGUACCACUGAUAACACACAGGAGGGAGGAGUUCAGAGUCAUGCUGCAACUGCCUCUUACAGCGUUGGCACAGUCUUCAGAGAUCUCUGGCAUGCUGCUUUCUUUUUAUCAGGAUCAAAGAAAGCAAAGAAUUCAAUUGAUAAAUCAACUGAGACUGACAAUGGCUAUGUAUCCCUUGAUGGGAAAAAGACUGUUAAAAGCAGUGAAGGUGGAGUACAAAGCCAUGAACCUCAGUGUGAAACUCUUCGACCAGAAGAGACAGCCUGGAGCACAGGCACACUGAGGAACAUUCCCAGCAAAGAUACCCAAAGGACAGUAACAAAUAUCUCUGAUGAAGUCUCCAGUGAAGAAGGUCCUGAAACAGGAUACCCAUUACGCCGUCAUGACAGGACUUCUGAGAGUAUUCUUCGGAAUAGAAAGUCACACCAUUAUAAGAAAUAUUACCCUAAUGAGGAUGCCCCUAAAUCGGGUACUAGUUGCAGCUCUCGCUGUUCAAGUUCCAGACAGGAUUCUGAGAGCACAAGGCCAGAAUCUGAAACAGAAGAUGUAUUAUGGGAAGACUUGUUACAUUGUGCAGAAUGCCGAUCAUCUUGUACCAGUGAGACAGAUGUGGAAAGUCCUCAGAUUAAUCCAUGUGUGAAAAAAGAAUAUAGAGACGACCCUUUUCAUCAGAGUCAUUUGCCCUGGCUCCAUAGUCCCCACCCGGGAUUAGAAAAAAUAAGUGCUAUCGUAUGGGAAGGUAAUGACUGCAAGAAAGCGGACAUGUCUGUACUUGAAAUCAGUGGAAUGAUAAUGAACAGGGUAAACAGCCACAUACCGGGAAUAGGAUACCAGAUUUUUGGAAAUGCAAUCUCUCUAAUCCUGGGUUUAACUCCAUUUGUUUUCCGACUCUCCCAAGCUACAGACUUGGAACAACUCACAGCACAUUCUGCUUCAGAACUUUAUAUGAUUGCGUUUGGUUCUAAUGAAGAUAUCCUAGUUCUUUCUAUGGUUAUAAUAAGUUUUGUGGUUCGUGUGUCUCUUGUGUGGAUUUUCUUUUUUUUGCUCUGUGUAGCAGAAAGAACUUAUAAACAGCGAUUACUUUUUGCAAAACUCUUUGGACAUUUAACAUCGGCAAGGAGGGCUCGAAAAUCUGAGGUUCCCCAUUUCCGAUUGAAGAAAGUACAGAAUAUAAAAAUGUGGCUCUCUCUCCGGUCCUAUCUUAAGCGUCGAGGUCCUCAGCGAUCAGUUGAUGUAAUAGUUUCAUCUGCUUUCUUGUUGACUAUCUCAGUUGUAUUUAUCUGUUGUGCCCAGUUGCUUCAUGUACAUGAGAUCUUCCUUGAUUGUCACUACAAUUGGGAACUGGUAAUCUGGUGCAUCUCGUUAACACUUUUUCUCCUAAGAUUUGUUACCCUUGGAUCAGAAACAAGUAAAAAAUAUAGCAAUACCUCAAUAUUACUUACUGAACAGAUAAACCUCUACUUGAAAAUGGAGAAGAAACCUAACAAAAAAGAGGAACUGACACUAGUGAAUAAUGUUUUAAAACUGGCUACUAAACUGCUGAAGGAAUUGGACAGUCCCUUUAGAUUGUAUGGGCUUACAAUGAAUCCACUGCUUUAUAACAUCACCCAGGUUGUCAUCCUGUCAGCUGUUUCUGGUGUUAUCAGUGACUUGCUUGGAUUUAAUUUAAAGCUGUGGAAGAUUAAAUCAUGACAAUUCAGAGAAAAGAAGAUGUAGCCUCUUUUCCAGAAUAAGAGUACCAACUAAGCUGCCUGAAAGCAGUCACUGACUCUUUGCUUCAGGAGUCUCAGCUGGGAAAUUGAAGUGUUUACAUCAGACUGUCUUGUGCAAUUCUUAUAUUUAUUUCACUUGUUCACUGUUUUUUACAUUUAUUUUAGUCUUUAUAUUUUAUUUUUAUCAUUGAUGUACUUAGUUGUUGAAAGGGUGAUAAAACUGAUAUCCAGAUACUUGAGAUCCUGGUAAUUGCUCAUAAAUAAUUGACAGAAUAACAAAUUGUGAGAUUAGAAGCCAUUGCUAAACACUGUUUCUCCAUCAGUGCCGUGACUUGCCUUACUUGAAAAUUUCUUUAAUUUGGGAAUAUUGCUUUGGACUCAGCUGAACACAUGAAAUAUUUUCUUCAGUAAAUCAAGAUCCAGUCAAGGUUUCUCUUGAAUUAUUUUGGAACAAUACCAGAAUCUAUACUGAUUAAGCUGCAGUUUAAGCACCCUUCAGUAUUAAUAUAUAUGAUAUUACACAACAGGUCAACAAGUGCUCUUUGAUGAUAAAACUCUUAAUAGAGCAAUAAUUGUAAAUGGUUACCAUACUGUAAGAUAUUUUGAUAAAAAUUAAGUAGUAAUAAUUGUAUUUAUUUGAAACACUGGGCUGUUUGCACAGCUCCAACUGUGCAUGCUCAAAAUGUGCACUUUUUAAAUUGUUACUUUAAUGCGUAUCUUUAUAUAUGGGAUAUGUUAUAGUGUACUAGGGCAUGAUAUGGUAUCCUUUUGAGUGAGGUAUAUACUCAUCUCACAAGUGAAGUGCCUAUUGAUAUUACUAAAGUACAUUAUGUUUACUUAAGCAAAAUAAUUUUCUUCCCAUGGUACACUAUAGUGUAUGCUGUUCAUACCACAUUCAAAUGAACAACUUAAGAAUAAGGUUAAAAAUGAAUAAUAUAUUCUUCUGAUUACUAGUUAUAAACCUGUAUCCAAAUUUUCAGGAAAGACAGCUAUAGCUUGCAAAUUCUAUCCUCUAAACUUAAUCUGGUACACCUCUUCCCUCAACCUCCAAUUGUAAAAGGGCUAUUUUAGAUGCUUUUACCCUAGAAAGUUAACCCUUCCCCCGUGAAUAAUUUGCCAAGUGUCCAAAUGAAAACUUACCAUGUUGGCAUGUUAGGUAAAUAGGGCAAAUAUGAUGGUAUCUUACAUUGGGCCAUGAUUUUAAGUUAUUAUAUUUGUACAAUCAAAAAAUUUUAGGAGUUAAAUGAAACAUGAAAUGUUUUUGCAAACUUUUUUUUUUAACUGGUGUCUAGUUUCUAAAACAAAAUUUAUUUGAAACAAUCUAGAAUUAUCUUGGUGCAAGGUGUAUCAUGUUGAAUAUCCUCACUUUUUUUUUUUUUACCAUGUUUUAGGGUAUUUAAAAUUAUUAAUUGUAAAUAAUUUAUUUGAUUGGUGCAGUUUUAAUCUCCAAUCAUAAUCUUAAGAUCAGGAAUGUGUGGAGAACAGAGCCACGUUAUAGUAUCACUUUGCUCUCACCAUUCCUUUUGAUCAGCCUCAGUUCAGCCUCCUUGUGUAGUAUAUUUUCUUUCUGUAGAAAACAACAGAAGCAUUUUGUUUUAUUUGCCUAUGUUCUAAUAUGUUUAAUAAUGACCAAAGUGCAUUCUGAGUUUUUCGAGGAAUGUAUUACUGGAGCUUUAAGAACACACUUAUUUUCUCCUGUGAAAAAUUAGGCUUUGUCUGAUAUGUUUUUUCUUCCUCUAUUGUCUAAUGUUGAAGUUGUUUUUAGGAAUUAUAUUUUAUAAACUUUUUCAAAAUAAGGUACAUACCUAUACAGAACUUAACAUUUUGCACAGAAUAUAUCAAAUAUAUUUUGAGAAAAAAAGUACAGCAUCAGUUCUGUUAGGAAUAAAAAAAGGAAACUAUUGUAUCUCAAAAAAAAACCUAUUUCAGAAUGGAAAUAUUUUUGAGAAAAGUAGGUGAGUAAACUGAUUUAGGAAAAUGCUUGUUUUUGAUUGAAGUUUAUUUUACUUAGAGUUGGGAGUUGAUUUAUUGAGUACAGUGUACCUCUCAGCAACAUAGUAAUAAUAUGUGGAAUUAUGUCACUAAUGUGGGCAGCAUUAGAAUACUAAAAGGAAAAAGGUGUCAUUUUAAAUAAUUUCAGAACAUUAAUGAAACUGUUUCCAAAGCAGAAAAAUUGACAUUGCUGCCUUUAAGAAUACCAUGAAUGUAAGAAAUUUAAAGGAAAUUGUAACAUAUCACAUAAUAUAGAAAAGGCAGUUGAAAGAAUUGUGGCAGAUGUUGUGUGUUAACUUUUGUUUCUUUGCCACAUGUGUCAUAUUUGAAAGUUUGAGCAGCAAGUUUAAAAUAAAACAUUCUAUGACAGUGUUAAAUUGGAAGUGGUUUUUAAAUUAUUUUUCAAGUCUUACACAUUUCUAUAGUAAUUUUGUAUUUACUGUAGCAUAAACUUUAGCUAUAAGUGCUAGAUUUGAGGGGAGUGGGGAUAAAUUUUUUAAAACUUGGCCAGCACUUCAGAUUUUGUUAUGAUUCUCAGAACAUGAAGGAAGAAUACAUGCACAGGCCUUUCAUCACCAAAAUGCUAUGACAUCAUUAAUGUUUGUUUGCUUGUUUGUUUGUAUUUAAACACAGAAAACUGGCUGUAGCCUGGGAUAUUAAAAUUCAUUGUCAGAAGAAUAGUGGUGUUUUCAAUCAAAUGACUUUGCACGUGAACUCAGCACGGGAGAGUAUGGCCAUCAAUAAGAUCGAGUAGCAGAAGUCAUCUGUACUCUAAUGGAUCAUGGGUUCUGGAAUCAGGCAGAGCUGGGAUUCUUUGCAGCAUGUGUCUGAGCUUGGGCAAGUUACUUGACCUCCCUAAUCCUCGUCUCAUGAGAUGGAAAGCUGCUGCCGCUGGAGCAUGAAUUGGUCCUUUUUUUUGGCACUUCUCCGGAGACCCCGUUAGGGAUCGUUACAUGCUGACAGCACAUAUUGCUAUCCAUUAUGUUCACUUGGUGAAAGCAUCCAAGAAAAGCAUCAAAAGACCUGAAAUCUACUCCUGCCUCCGGCAUUUACCAGCAAUCUGAUUUGGGACCAACUACUCAAUCUCUCUGAGCCUGAAGUUCUCCAUUUAUAAGGAUUAAAGCAUGUGACAUGGACAUGCUCAGUGGCCACUGCUGACCAACAGGAAUGAGACCGCAGCACUGCCAUCAUGAUGUAAUGACUUUGCCUGAAGGAGCUUCAUCCCUGGGGAAUCGUAAGUCAACCUGCCAGUGAACGUUCAGAUUAAGCCACAGGGCUGGGACUCAGAGACCCGUGGCUGCCUUUUGGAUUAGAGUCUUCAGGAAGG